Molecule: ribosomal RNA, 483 nt
Filed under: uncultured bacterium
Lineage: Bacteria
Description: bacterial SSU rRNA
Rfam family: Bacterial small subunit ribosomal RNA
Source: RNAcentral
GAUGAACGCUGGCGGCGUGCCUAACACAUGCAAGUCGAGCGAUGAAGUUUCCUUCGGGAAACGGAUUAGCGGCGGACGGGUGAGUAACACGUGGGCAACCUGCCUUAUAGAGGGGAAUAGCCUUCCGAAAGGAAGAUUAAUACCGCAUAACAUUAUCGAAUGGCAUCAUUUGAUAAUCAAAGGAGCAAUCCGCUAUAAGAUGGGCCCGCGUCGCAUUAGUUAGUUGGUGGGGUAAUGGCCUACCAAGACGACGAUGCGUAGCCGACCUGAGAGGGUGAUCGGCCACAUUGGGACUGAGACACGGCCCAGACUCCUACGGGAGGCAGCAGUGGGGAAUAUUGCACAAUGGGGGAAACCCUGAUGCAGCAACGCCGCGUGAGCGAUGAAGGUCUUCGGAUCGUAAAGCUCUGUCUUUAGGGAUGAUAAUGACAGUACCUAAGGAGGAAGCCACGGCUAACUACGUGCCAGCCGCCGCCGUAACAC